AUGAACGCGCUCGUCAGCGCGGCGCUAUGGGUGGUCGGCAAGGCAUUGGCCCCAGUAACUGAUGGCCUGCUGGAGGCUUGGGAUGCCACCAAGAAGCUAGGUCUCAACAUUGAGUCCCUCAAGAUGGAGCUGUUGCUCCUGAAGGCCACACUUGAACUCGCUGGCAGCAAGCAGAUCCAUGGCCAGGCCAUUGAGGACCUGCUAGUGAUGUUACGAGACUCGGCCCACCGUGCCGAGGACUUGUUGGACGAGCUGGACUACUUCCGCAUCCAGGAUGAGCUCCACGGCACUUGCGAUGCCGCUGACCAACAUGGCAAGGGUGGAGUCCACGAUCUUGCCUUCCAUGGUCGUCAUGCUGCCACAGCUGUUGGCAAACGGGUUAGCUGUUGCGCUUGGCCACGUGCUUGGCAGAGGUCAGUCAGCAAUUCCUCCUCAGUACCGAACACCAAUCAGGAGGUGUUCUUAUGGAUGUUCUUGUAG
This 480-nucleotide ribosomal RNA is filed under the name Triticum aestivum (bread wheat). RNAcentral describes it as "partial small subunit ribosomal RNA". The record is from RNAcentral. Lineage: Eukaryota; Viridiplantae; Streptophyta; Magnoliopsida; Poales; Poaceae.